AUGCUGACUUUAGCAGCACAUACACUAAAAUUGGAAUGAUACAGAGAUCAGCAUGGUCCUUGUGUAAGGAUGGCACACAAGUGCAGGAAGCAUUCCAUAUUUUU
This is a small nuclear RNA of Cercocebus atys (sooty mangabey), 104 nucleotides long. The record is from Ensembl. NCBI's taxonomy places the organism in Eukaryota, Metazoa, Chordata, Mammalia, Primates, Cercopithecidae.